UGAGGUGUAGCUUAGUGGUAGAGUGCUUUUCUAGCAUGUGUAAGGCCCUAGGUUUGAUCCCUAGCACCAUAA
This 72-nucleotide transfer RNA is filed under the name Heterocephalus glaber (naked mole-rat). It matches the Rfam family "tRNA". From Rfam's summary of the family: Transfer RNA (tRNA) molecules are approximately 80 nucleotides in length. Their secondary structure includes four short double-helical elements and three loops (D, anti-codon, and T loops). The record is from Rfam by way of RNAcentral. Lineage: Eukaryota; Metazoa; Chordata; Mammalia; Rodentia; Bathyergidae.